UGUAAGCGUAUACCAAAGUUGUUGCAGUUAAAACGCUCGUAGUCGGAAUUUGGCAGUUCCGGAAGUGUGCACGUCGUGUGCGCACUUUGCGGGGACUGCUUUUGUGGUCUUGCGUAGGAUGAGGCACUUUCAUUAGUGAACGUCCUCACGCAACCACUCUUUACUGUGAGAAAAUCAGAGUGCUCAAAGCAGGCAUUUGCCGUGAAUGUAUUAGCAAGGAAUAAUAGAAUAGGACUCGGUUCUAUUUUGUUGGUUUGUUGGGACUGAGUAAUGAUUAAGAGGGACAGUUGGGGGCAUUUGUAUUCCGGCGCUAGAGGUGAAAUUCUUAGAUUGCCGGAAGACAAACUGCUGCGAAAGCGUCUGCCAAGGAUGUUUUCAUUGA
This 382-nucleotide ribosomal RNA is filed under the name uncultured eukaryote. Its description in RNAcentral is "partial 18S ribosomal RNA". It matches the Rfam family "Eukaryotic small subunit ribosomal RNA", at positions 592 to 976 of the family's 1831-position model. The record is from RNAcentral.